GAUGAACGCUGGCGGCGUGCCUAAUACAUGCAAGUCGAGCGAACGGACGAGAAGCUUGCUUCUCUGAUGUUAGCGGCGGACGGGUGAGUAACACGUGGAUAACCUACCUAUAAGACUGGGAUAACUUCGGGAAACCGUAGCUAAUACCGGAUAAUAUUUUUAACCGCAUGGUUCAAAAGUGAAAGAGGGUCUUGCUUUCACUUAUAGAUGGAUCCGCGCUGCAUUAGUUAGUUGGUAAGGUAACGGCUUACCAAGGCAACGAUGCAUAGCCGACCUGAGAGGGUGAUCGGCCACACUGGAGCUGAGACACGGUCCCGACUCCUACGGGAGGCAGCAGUAGGGAAUCUUACGCAAUGGGCGAAAGCCUGACGGAGCGACGCCGCGUGAGUGAUGAAGGUCUUCGGAUCGUAAAACUCUGUUAUUAGGGAAGAACAUAUGUGUAAGUAACUGUGCACAUCUUGACGGUACCUAAUCAGAAAGCCACGGCUAACUACGUG
Molecule: ribosomal RNA, 497 nt
Filed under: uncultured bacterium
Lineage: Bacteria
Description: partial 16S ribosomal RNA
Rfam family: Bacterial small subunit ribosomal RNA
Source: RNAcentral